GGCCGGCCCAUCUCAUCGCGCCUGCACCGUCCCGGUGCUGGGGGCCGUGGCCGUCCGCGCCGAAUCGCCACGUUGAAUGGCUGCCCAGCUCUUCCCUCCUGAUUCCGGUUGUUCCAGCGUUCAGCCCUAGAGGUCUUCAUCACAUUAGCCAAAUCACCUUCCGGGUUUCGGAAAGAGGCCUGCUCGCUUAGAGUCUGGGCACGAACGCGCCCUUUGCCCCCCCUCCCGCCCCCGUCUCAGACCGUUAGCCCGAGCCUGUCUGAGAGACGCCGGCAGUUGUCUCAGACCAUCUGCUGCCCAUCCGGAGGUCAGCCUCUGCAGCAGCCCGGCCCGGCCGGCAGGAAGAGAAAGCCUCCACGUGUUUAACCACUCGUCUGCGUCAGCACCCCCCGGUUCUCUGCCCGGACUCAUUCCUCAGUGGCUAGCGCCCCCAACCUCUCUGUGCACUCCCCAGUAAUACCCCCUCAGCUUCCGCUGUCCAUUCUCUCCCUGAGGUGUCUGCAUCAGCCCUAUUCUCGCCCCCAAAUCGGCCUGCCCCUCACCCUGUGGAGCCCCAUCCCUAGGGACCUGUCUCUUACGUCGGACUCCUCUCUAUUCUCUGGCCCCCCCUGAGACCUUGUCUCCCCCGCCUCAUCCCGCUCCACUUUCCGGAUGGCUCCGUUCUCCCAGGCCGCUUGUCCAGCGCUGCUUACAUCUUCUCUCACCCAGCCUCAACACUGAUCCCAGAGGAGGACGUAGAGCACUGUUCCUCGUGGCUUCUCCCCCUGCCCCACCACCCUCCAUGAUUUCUCCUCCUGGCCAUUAGCUGUGGAUCCCCGGCUAUGGAUUUCUUCAUUAGUUCAGUGCCUGACCCAGAGAUUCUUCCCUCCCCCAGGUCCCGCCCGCUUAUUUGUGGGCCUUUGACAUGUAUGCUGAUAUUCUUUCUAAUACUCUUGUUCUCUAGGUCCUCAGCCAUUGAUGAAGUUUCCCAUGAGCCUUUCCCCCUCGUCACCUCGACCAUGUAUAGGGAUGGCCAUUGGUCUUGCCAUAACUCACGUGUCCUUUCACUGCCAUAUUCAAACAUCUCAAAUCCCUUUUGUUUCGGUCAUAUCCGAUUCUUCAUGACCUCAAAUCCCUUGAUGUGAUCUUAAUAUUUUGUCAUUCCAUCUCUUCCUUUCCCUGACUUAGGAUUCUUAGCCCUGCUCUGGUCCACACGGUCACUCCCAGUCCCACAACACCUCAGUUCUCUGUGGCAUCCUCUUCUCCAUGUUCUCAUUGUGAUCGAUCCCUCAGUGUAUCAGUUCACCUCUGCACUGUCCUCUUGAAUCCCUCCCCCAUCACAUUUCCCCAAAUCUCGACCCCGUUAUUCCGUUUCCUUCCCUCCUCUUCAGGUGCUGCUGAACCAAACUGAAGGAAGUCACAAAACCAUGUUCGAUGGCUCUAGUAUAAAUCUGUUAUGUCAUCUCAACAAGAACCCAUUUUAGCAAAACAACCCUCCUUCACUAAUUCUCUAUCUCACUUGCUUCAGUAGCUCUUCCAAAUCUUUCCUCUUUUCUCCUCCUGUAGAAUGUUCCUCUUGUUCAUUCGGCCACCAAAAAUAUUGGGGCCAUUCUCUCAGAAUUCCCCCUUCCUUUUCAACUCAGAUGAGUCAACUCUCUCCCCUCCAUAGUCUCCUCUCUCAUCUCAGAUCAAGAGUUGGUCCUUCUCCUUGCCAAGGCCAUCCCCAGUAUAGGCACCUUUGAUCUCAUCUCCUUCUGGCCUCACCCAACAGACCAUCCCCACUUUUAUUUUCUCCCUCUGAUCUUCUACCUCUUCCAGUCUACUGGCUCCUUUCUUGCUGCCACCAAACAUGCCCUUGUCUCCUCCAAAAGCCCUCACUUGAUUUGACCAUCCCUUCAAGAGAGUAUCCUGCAUCUCUCAUUCUCAGCUAAAUGCUUUGAGAAAGCUAUGUACAAAUGACUCCUUUUCAGAUCAUGAUGCAAUAAAAAUUCCAUUUAAUAAAGGGCCCUGGCAUGGUAGAUUAAAAAUUAAUAGGAAAUUAAAUAAUCCUAAAAAAUAAGUGGCUCAAAGAACAAAUCAUAGAAAUGAUAAUUUCAUCAAAGAGAAUGACAAUAAUGAGACAAUAUAACAAAAUUUGUGGGAUGCAGCCAAAACAGUUCUUAGGGGAAAUUUAUAAAUGCUUACAUCAAUAAAACAGAGAAAGAGCAGAUCAAUGAAUUGAGUGAGCAACUAAAAAAGCUAGAAAAAGAACAACCUAAAAACCUUCAAUUAAACACCAAAUUGAAAAUCUGGAAAAUCAAAGCAGAGAUUAAUAAAAUUGAAAGUAAGAAAACCAUUGAAUUAAUAAAAUCAAGAACUGGUUUUGUGAAAAAAAAUAAUUAAAAUAGAUAAAUCUUUGGUUAAUUUAAUUUUUUUUAAAGAAAACUCUAUUUACACGACAUGCCUCCAUGUCCCUCCUCUCACUAGUUGGUAAAUCAGUUUCAUCAUUCACCAAAGCUGCCCUACCCAAAUUACCAAUGAUCUUUCUUCACAACCUAAUCUAAUGGUCUUUUCUCCAUCUUCAUCCUUUUUGCUCUCUUAGCAGCUUCUGAAACUGCCAAUCACCCACUGCCCGUGUAUACUCUCUUCUCUCUAGGUUUUCUGUGUUUUUCCUCCUAUCUUUGUCUUCCUUGCUGGGUCUUCAUCUGUUACUCCCAUUAACUCUGUUCUAGGAUCUUUCCUCCCACUGUAUCCCAUCUCCCUUGUGAACUUCAUCAGGUCAUGAUGCUCAGGUCUUUAUAUCCAACCCUCCUCUCUCCUGACCUCCAUCUCCAACUGUCUAUUGUUCAUUUCCUUUUGUGUUUCCUCCAGAUAAUGCUGAUGCCCAAUGUCUACUGUAGGACAAAACUCCCCCACAACUUGUUGCUAUUCUAAAUUUCUAUUUUUCUGCCCAGGGUACCAUCAUCCUUCUGGUCACCAGGUUCCAACUGGCUCAUCUUUGCCUCCUCAUUUGAACUCUCUCUUCAUAGCCAAUCACUAAUUGUUUCUAUCUAUCCCUACAACAUAGUAACACCCUAAUCGAGCCCCUUAUCACCUCACUCCAGGCCUCUGGCAUUAGCUUUCUAAGUGGUCUUCCUGCCUCAAGUAGCCUGUUUCCCUACCUCCAUUCAACUGUUGAAGUUAUUUUCUGAAACUGCAGGUAUGAUUUGGCAUCUCCUCUCCCCUACUCAAGAAACUCCCAUGACUCCCCAUUGCUUCUGGGACUGACCUAUUGCCUCUGGAACCAAGCAUAUACCAGGUAUUUAUGAAUCUUGCAAAGUCAAUGGAGAGGAACUGUCCUUUCCCAGCUGGAGUGGGAGCGGAAAUAUCAGGAGCCCCGGACUUUGUGAGGGAUGUCCGAGAGGCCCCGUCCCCAACCCUCCCUCUCUGAGUCAGUCCAAGACCCUUGGAUUGGGGAGAGUGAAGAAGUCUGUUAACGACACCAAUUAAUGAGUGUGAAAUGCCAUUUACACCAGGGGAACAGCUGCAGACAGCUGGAGAUGGCUCCAAACCUUGGCACCAAUGUAGACAGAUGCUACCUUUUCUCCCUCCUCCCCCAAGUGAUUCCUCCUUUUUAAAUUAACGGCUUCAAAGGUCUAAUUAAAAAGGAUACAAAGUAGUGAUUUUGGAGAAAGGCUUUUGUGCCUGGUGUUAAUUAUGUUAGCGCAAACAGGAGAGAAAUCUGAUUUCAAGUUACCUUCCUCAUGCUAUUCAAGGGGAAAGGUGUACGCUGUUUGAAACCUCUUGAUCUGAUGAAAACCGACAAGCUUUGUCACCUCCAUGGUGCCUAAGCAUCUGUGAAUGCAUGAGAAUGCAUGGGAAUGGUCAUGGAAGGGAAUGUCCUGUGGCCUGGUCCAUAGCCCAUGAAUACAAUAGAGCUGAAGGUCCUAAACAGAGAGCUCAUUUGGGUUUUAUUGGACUUAACUGAAAACUCCAUGUCACCAUGUCUUGAUCUCAGCACUAUUGAUCAGAAGGGUUAUAAACUCAGAAUGGGGAGGGGCCUUAAAAUGGAAUGUCAGAACCACGAGGAAGCUUAGAACAGAGAAUGUUAGGACUGGGAAGGGGCUUUAGAACAGGAGAUGUCAGAGCUCGGAAGGGGGUGUCAGUGCUAGAAAGGAUAUGGAGUCAAGGAAUAUAGGUUAAGAGGGGCCUUAUUUACUUCAUUUUGAGAUGAGAAGAUUGAGGAUUUUAGCUGGGAAGACACCUGCCAAAGGUCAUGUGGUAUUCCCCUAAAACCAAGAAGAAUGGAUGGCCUCGGAAUAGUAGAAAAAUAAAUAAUUUGGGAACCAAAAGAUGCAAGAUAGAUUCCCAGCUCUGACAUAUAUCUGUUAUGUGAGUGGUUCUGAGUCACUGAAUCCCUCCGAUCUCAUCUCAUUCAUCCGUCUGUCAAUCAAUCAAUAACUUAAGUGCCUCCUAUGUGCCAGGUACUUCAAGUGUGUAUUCAUAAAAUAAAGGUAAUCACAUUCCCUGGAGCUGCCCACCUCCCGAGUUCUUAGAAGCCACAACUUUUGAAACCUUGGAGCCCCAUGGCAAUGGAAGUUCCUGUUCUUAGGAUUCAAUUCCGCAGUCAAAGGUCCAUCACUACUGAGGUCUUGCUCUGCCCCUUCCUGUCUAGGUGACUUUGGAUUAGUCCCUUCUACUCCCCCAGCCUCAAUGUCCUCAUCUGUGAAAUGAAAAAAUGAGGUAGAGGUAAUUCCAAGCUCCUUUCUACUCUGUCAGUUGUGUUUUUUCUAGGGGGUCAGAGCGGAUGGAUGGAUGGACCACUCUCCCAGGUGCUCUUGGACUGAGUGUUCUCGAAGGCACUAGGUUAUGGAGAGCUCUCCAUUGUGCUGCUGGACAUAGAGCUCUCCAAUAUGUUACUUCAUGUGGAGCUCUCCAGGGUGCUGCUGGACAUAGCGCUCUCCAAGGUGCUGCUUCAUGGGCAGGUCUCCGAUGUGCUGCUGGACAAAGCGCUCCCCAAUAUGCUACUUUAUGGGGGCUCUCCGAGGUACCACUUCAUGGGGAGGUCUCCAAGGUGCUACUGGAUAGAGGACUCUCCAAGGUACUGCUUUAUGGGGAGGUUUCUGAAGUGCUGCUAGACAGGGUACUCUCUAAGGUACUCCUGAAUGGGGACUUCAUCUUCUGCAGCUCCUUUCUCCUCGUGCCCUUCUACUUUGAUAAAGUUCACUGGGGAUGCUGCAAGCAAGCUGUAUUUAAUCUCCAGAACGGAAGCACGUUCAAUUAGUCCAUCAUCUCUGGGUAGAGCCCAAACAGACACUUUCUUGGACAUUUCUCCUGUAAGGAAUCCCAGAAGGGUGAUGGGAGGGAAAUAUUAUAGAGUACCUUUGAAGGUCACAUUCCUAACAACACUAUGGAAUCUAGAAGAUAGAGCCUGAUUUGAAAUUUACAUGUGAGGAAAUGAAGCCUGAGUAAGAGAACCAUCUGUGGUGCUGGAAACAUCACUGGGCACUGGAAUGAGUUCCAGUUAGUUAUUCAGUAACUAACUGUGCGACCCUCUCUCAGAACUUUGUUACUUCCUCCCUCUGAAUCCUGGUUUGUGUAUCUAUAAAAUGGAGGAAAUGACAUUUUUAAUGACUUAAUUGUGGGGCUACUGGGAGGCCCACCUGAGCUAAUGGAUGGGAAAUUGCUUUGUAAAUUGUAAAGGCUACAUUGAGUUCUACAUGGGUUUAUUAGUGAGAGGAAAGCUUCAUGGAGAUGAGGGGUCUUAAGUUGGGUCUUCAAGAAGAGGUGGUUUUCAGAUUACAAAGUCCCAGGAAACAUUACUUCUGAUAUUGUUUUUUAUCCCCCAUAAUCCUAUGCACAGAGUAGUUGCCUAGAAGAAGUUUGAUGGUGGAGGAAUGAACAGCAGCAGGUUCACCUCUGCUCCUGGCUGUAGGGAGUAAAUCUGCAAAGAAGAAUUGAAACUCACUGCAGGAGUGAAGUUCUGGCUGGAUCUGCCAACCCCCAAGAGCAAGAAGUCCAAUGGACUUGGAGGGAGAGCAUCCCAGUGAGUGGGAGCCCAGAGUGAGGGGCCUUUGCCACUAUAGUAGGGAGGAUGGAACAGAGAUUCGAAGAGCAAGAGAAAGAGGAAACUGAGGCAAAGAGGUGAAGUUACUGUCCCAAAGGCAUAGCUAGUCUCAGCCUCAGGAAAGGGGACAAAGAGUGCAUCUGGGCUCUCUGUCUCACCCAGGACUGCAGGAAGGAAUUCAGGCCUGAUAUGCUGAUGAAGAAAGAGCUCCUGCUCCAUGAAGGUCUAAAGCUCGCAUUUGGCAAAUCGACGGAAACUUCCAGCAAAUGCAGACUCCUCCAAUCUGCUCCCCAGAGAUGACCCCUUCAGAGUCAGCUAUAACAGCGUCUGACGGACUUAGAAGGCUCUUUGCCUGGCCUCCACCUGGUCAAAAGCUCCCUUUGCCCACCCUUGACAAGUGGUUUUUCUGAAGACUUCCAAUGGAUGGGGAACUCACUACUCGCAACAUAAUUCAUCUCACUGGGGGACAGCUCUGCGUGUAAUGAAGUUCUUCCUUUACUGAACCGAGACUAGCCUCCCUGUAGCUUUCAUUCCCCCACACAGGCACACAUGCAUGUGCACACAGCAUCACUCCCCCAAGUAUCCUCAGAUACUUAAAGAGACCCAGUCAGAUUAUUGUUCUGUAAGAAACGGCCAGCAGGAUGAUUUCAGAGAGCCCCGGGGAGACCUAUGUGAUCUGCUGCUGAGUGAAGAGAGUGGAACCAGGAGAUCAUUGUACACGGCAACAACAAAAUUAUACAAAGAUCAAGAGCUGUCUGCUCCCAGAGAGGGCUGUGGGAACUGGGCGUGGACCACGACAUAGCAUUUCCACUCUUUUUGCUGUCGUUUGCUUGCUUUUUGUUUUAUUUUUCAGUUUUCCCUUUUUGAUCUGAUUUUUCUUGGCAGCAUGAUAUUUGUGGAAAUAUGUAUAGAAGAACUGCACGUAUUUAAGAUCUAUUGGAUUACUUGCUGUCUGGACAGGGAAAAGGGAGGGGAAAAAUUUGGAACAUAAGAUUUUGCAAGGGUGAAGUUGAAAAUUAUCCAUAUGUAUAUUUGAAAAUCAAAAAGGUUUAAUUAAAAAAAAAUCCAUUCAGGAUCAGGUCACCUCCACCAGGAAUUACAGCCAAAUGAUCAGUGUAGAUUGUUAUGAUUUUUAAAAGGGAAGAAAUGAUGUAACACAUUCAUUAACCAAAAAUUAAGCACCUACUAUGUGCUUGGUAUUGUCUUAAGUCCUGAGGAGCUAGGACAAAAAAAAAGAUAGAAAAAGUCCUUACUUUGGGGGAGCUUCUGCCUUCUCAAGGAGACAAUACCUGCAGAAUAAAGACUGACCAAUUCUAGAUCGUUACAGACAAGGGUAUGGGAGGGUGGAGACCUGAGCACUCAGAAGGUGCACCUCUCCCUAGUGGGAUGUGGGCUGUUCUGUCCCCUCCUCAUAGAACUUUGCACACAUCAGAGCAAACAGCAUCUCUGUCCCUUUGGAGCAAGAAUUGGUUUUCAAUAAGAACAAUGGUAGGAACAGCAGCAUUUCUACAGCACUUUAAGGCUGGUAAAGAGCUUCACAAAUAUGAUUUCAUUGAGCUUCACCACAAACAUGGGAGGGACAUUUUACAAAUGGGGAAGUCGAGGAAGUUAGAGGUAAAAUGACUUUUUCAGGCUCCCCCAGCCACUGAAUAUGUGAGGCUGAAUUUGAAUUCCUCCUGUGUACUGCAGCAUCCAUGUGUCUUUACUAGCUCACCUGUCCAAGAGGGGGUCAGUCUCAUUAAGGUCCGUGCUCCAAGCCCUGUAAUAGCUGUUUCAGGAUGCUUCUCGGAGAUAGCCGCAUCCUGCCUCUUUCCACGUAGGUGGGUUUCCCCUCCACUUCCUCUGCCUCCUCUAGGCCUGAAAUCCUUGGGUGUGCCAAAUUAAAUACCUGAAAAGUCUCCUGAAACGUCUAUCGGUUACUAUGGUAACGGGAGAAUAAUGCCCAUUUCCCUGUAAAGCGCAGCAGACAAUCCCAUUUCCCCCCUUGCAUUAAAGCCGGCCAAUUAUUGCUAAUCGCUGGUGGGUGAGAAGCCGGGCUCUCCCAGGCAGACCUCCUCCUCCUCCUCCCCGUUAGCAUCGGCAGGCGACAGUGCCCGGCCGGGUAGGCCGGGCUGCGGGAUGUGGAUUAUCUGAGAGUUCAUUAUCAGAGCCCAGGCUGGAUUGAUUAUCAAUAACCGGCCUUUCACUUACUUACCAUCCUGCGGCGGGUUGGCUGAUUUAAUAUCCUGGCGGUCCCUCAGCUGAUCUAAUCAGCCCAGCUCCUUCCAUCUGGAAGCUUUGGGAGGCGGCGAGCUCCCCAGGCCCGAU
Antechinus flavipes (yellow-footed antechinus) is the source of this 8311-nucleotide long non-coding RNA. RefSeq lists it as uncharacterized. The record is from RefSeq and is a predicted model, not a curated record. The transcript is spliced from 3 exons. Lineage: Eukaryota; Metazoa; Chordata; Mammalia; Dasyuromorphia; Dasyuridae.